AUCACUUCUCGACCUUUUGACUAAGAUCAAGUUAGUAUUCUGUU
RNAcentral lists this small nuclear RNA (44 nucleotides) under Cervus elaphus hippelaphus. The record is from RNAcentral. Lineage: Eukaryota; Metazoa; Chordata; Mammalia; Artiodactyla; Cervidae.